Molecule: non-coding RNA, 31 nt
Filed under: Homo sapiens (human)
Lineage: Eukaryota; Metazoa; Chordata; Mammalia; Primates; Hominidae
Source: RNAcentral
UAGUCCUAGAUGGCCCUUGCUAAAUUGCAUC